CUCUGUGUAGGCCACAGUGAAGCCUGAACUCCAGUAGGGCCCAAGCAAGCCAGGAAGGAGGAGGCAGCCAGAGUGGCCACCACUGUUCUCUGCAGCAGAAGACCCCCUGCUGCCAGGUAUGAGGAAAUUGCCAGCUCAAAAUUUCUCAGCUGAAGAAGAAGAAAAUGUAAUAUCUCUUUGGCUGAAGAGGAAGUAUCUUGGAACCACCUAAGCCAGCACUCUUGUAUCCCAUUGAAUCUGAAAGCUGGUUUAAGAGUAUCUGGUAGCCAGUGGUGCCAAAAGGCUAAAAGAACAAACUGAGUUGUAAAGAGUUGUACUUGUCGUCUCACACACCAUCCAGAAGGGCUGCCAAAUCAGCCUCAAUCUUAAAACUAUGCCUACAGCCUGGCUGAAAUGGGAAGUAAGGGAGAAACUAUAGUUCCUAUUGGAGAAACCAGCAACAUGAAGAAUUAAGGAAGCAAUAUGAUGUUUUUACGGGGUGUGUGUGUGUGUGUGUGUGUGUGUGAAGUCUGUUGAAAAUUUCAUGUUUAAAAUAGAUGAUUAACAAACACACAUGUGCUGCUGCUGCUGCUGCUGCUGCUGCUGCUGCUGCUUUAAGAUGCUCCUGUAACAAACUAAUAACUAAUAACAAACUCAAAACUAAAGCACAGUUAUGUUUGCUGGAUAAAAUUUCAUCAUUUCCUCUACCAACCCAAUUUGCAUCCACUACUAAAAAUGGGCUUCUCCAUAGCAUGAAAAAUACAGGAGGAUUCUGUUGUGAAUAUGUAAAUUUCUUUUAAAAGACAAUGCUAAUGCCUAUCAGCAACAAUAAACAUAAUAACAAAGUC
Long non-coding RNA from Hemicordylus capensis (graceful crag lizard), 827 nucleotides. RefSeq lists it as uncharacterized. NCBI's taxonomy places the organism in Eukaryota, Metazoa, Chordata, Lepidosauria, Squamata, Cordylidae. The transcript is spliced from 3 exons. The record is from RefSeq and is a predicted model, not a curated record.